This 472-nucleotide ribosomal RNA is filed under the name uncultured bacterium. Its description in RNAcentral is "bacterial SSU rRNA". It matches the Rfam family "Bacterial small subunit ribosomal RNA", at positions 355 to 825 of the family's 1533-position model. The record is from RNAcentral.
UCGAGAAUCUUCCGCAAUGGACGAAAGUCUGACGGAGCGACGCCGCGUGCGGGAUGAAGGCCCUCGGGUUGUAAAGCUCUUUUGUCAGGGAAGAAACGGUAGUAGCGAAUAACUAUUACUAAUGACGGUACCUGAAGAAUAAGCACCGGCUAACUACGUGCCAGCAGCCGCGGUAAUACGUAGGGUGCAAGCGUUAAUCGGAAUUACUGGGCGUAAAGCGUGCGCAGGCGGUUAUGCAAGACAGAUGUGAAAUCCCCGGGCUCAACCUGGGAACUGCAUUUGUGACUGUAUAGCUAGAGUACGGUAGAGGGGGAUGGAAUUCCGCGUGUAGCAGUGAAAUGCGUAGAUAUGCGGAGGAACACCGAUGGCGAAGGCAAUCCCCUGGACCUGUACUGACGCUCAUGCACGAAAGCGUGGGGAGCAAACAGGAUUAGAUACCCGUGUAGUCCCUGAGCGGGCUGGCAAGGCGCAU